Molecule: small nuclear RNA, 103 nt
Filed under: Zalophus californianus (California sea lion)
Lineage: Eukaryota; Metazoa; Chordata; Mammalia; Carnivora; Otariidae
Source: RNAcentral
GUGCUUGCUUUGGCAGCACAUAUACUAAAACUGGAAUGAUACAGAGAAGAUUAGCAUGGCCCUUGCACAAGGAUGACAUGCAGAAUUUGUUUACUGUUCUUUU